RNAcentral lists this ribosomal RNA (277 nucleotides) under uncultured bacterium. RNAcentral describes it as "partial 16S ribosomal RNA". It matches the Rfam family "Bacterial small subunit ribosomal RNA", at positions 524 to 796 of the family's 1533-position model. The record is from RNAcentral.
UACGGAGGGUGCGAGCGUUAAUCGGAAUUACUGGGCGUAAAGCGCAUGCAGGCGGUCUGUUAAGCAAGAUGUGAAAGCCCGGGGCUCAACCUCGGAACAGCAUUUUGAACUGGCAGACUAGAGUCUUGUAGGAGGGGGGUAGGAAUUUCAGGUGUAGCGGUGAAAUGCGUAGAGAUCUGAAGGAAUACCGGUGGCGAAGGCGGCCCCCUGGACAAAGACUGACGCUCAGAUGCGAAAGCGUGGGGGAGCAAAACAGGAUUAGAUACCCGGGUAGUCC